RNAcentral lists this ribosomal RNA (1024 nucleotides) under uncultured phyllopharyngid ciliate. RNAcentral describes it as "bacterial SSU rRNA". It matches the Rfam family "Eukaryotic small subunit ribosomal RNA", at positions 1 to 1095 of the family's 1831-position model. Lineage: Eukaryota; Ciliophora; Phyllopharyngea. The record is from RNAcentral.
AUCUGGUUGAUUCUGCCAGUAGCAUAUGCUUAUCUUGGAGAUUAAGCCAUGCAUGUCUAGGUAUAAGUUAUAUACGGCGAAACUGCGAAUGGCUCAUUAAAACAGUUAUAGUAUAUUUGAUGAUGUUUUUAGAUGGAUAACCGUUGGGAAACCAGAGCUAAUACAUGCAUUAAAAGCCUUUGGGCUGUAUUUAUUAGCUAUAAACCAAUCCCUUAGGGGUUGUGAGGAGUCAUAAUAACUGAUCGAAGCGCACUUGUGUGUGCUAAAUCUUUCUAGUUUCUGCUCUAUCAGCUUUGAUGGUAGUGUAUUGGACUACCAUGGCUUUCACGGGUAACGGAGAAUUAGGGUUCGAUUCCGGAGAGGGAGCCUGAGAAACGGCUACCACAUCCACGGUAGGCAGCAGGCGCGUAAAUUACCCAAUCCUGAUUAAGGGAGGUAGUUACAAGAAAUAUGGAAUUCGCUUUUGCGAAGAUCUGACUGUGUUGAAUGUAAACCGUUCUUCGAAUGCGAUUGGAGGGCAAGUCUGGUGCCAGCAGCCGCGGUAAUUCCAGCUCCAAUAGUGUAUCUUAAUGUUGUUGCAGUUAAAAAGCUCGUAGUUGAAUUUCUGGCAGCCUGAUCGGACUUUAUGCGAGAUCUUGGGCUGUCAUCCGCGUUGGAUUCUCAUUCGCUCGCAAGGGCAGUGGGUGGAAGGCGCAUUUUACUUUGAAGAAAUUAGAGUGUUCCAGGCAGGCUAUGCUUGAAUAUUACAGCAUGGAAUAAUGGAAUAGGACAGGUUCAUUUUAUUGGUUAUUGGACUUUGUAAUGAUUAACAGGGACAGUUGGGGGCAUUCGUAUUGAAUAGUCAGAGGUGAAAUUCGUAGAUUUAUUCAAGACGCACUAAUGCGAAGGCAUUUGCCAAGGAUGUUUUCAUUAAUCAAGAACGAAAGUUAGGGGAUCAAAGACGAUUAGAUACCGUCGUAGUCCUAACUAUAAACUAUACCAACUAGGGAUUGCAGGGGGAGUCCUCUGUCAGCACCUAAUGAGA